This 643-nucleotide ribosomal RNA is filed under the name Centropages furcatus. RNAcentral's name for it is "SSU rRNA". It matches the Rfam family "Eukaryotic small subunit ribosomal RNA", at positions 568 to 1209 of the family's 1831-position model. The record is from RNAcentral. Lineage: Eukaryota; Metazoa; Arthropoda; Copepoda; Calanoida; Centropagidae.
CAGCAGCCGCGGUAAUUCCAGCUCCAAUAGCGUAUAUUAAUGUUGUUGUGGUUAAAAAGCUCGUAGUUGGAUUUCAGCGAGUAUUGGCCGGUUCGGAUUGCUCCGACACUGGUUAGAUUACUCGUGUAUUUUGCCAGAAUUUGCUGGGUGAUCUUAAUCGAUUGUCUAGUAGAGCUGGCAGGUUUACUUUGAAAAAAUUAGAGUGCUCAAAGCAAGCUAUGUCUGCUUGAAUAUUCGUGCAUGGAAUAAUAGAAUAGGAAGUCGUUUCUAUUUUGUUGGUUUUCGGAAAUCGACUUAAUGAUUAAUAGGGACGGUCGGGGGCAUUUGUAUUCAAACGACAGAGGUGAAAUUCUUGGACCGUUUGAAGACAAACUACUGCGAAAGCAUCUGCCAAGCAUGUUUUCAUUAAUCAAGAACGAAAGUUAGAGGUUCGAAGGCGAUUAGAUACCGCCCUAGUUCUAACCAUAAACGAUGCCAGCUAGCGAUCUGACGGCGUUUAAUUUUCUGACUUGUCAGGGAGCUUCCGGGAAACCAAAGCGUUUGGGUUCCAGGGGAAGUAUGGUUGCAAAGCUGAAACUUAAAGGAAUUGACGGAAGGGCACCACCAGGGGUGGAGCCUGUGGCUUAAUUUGACUCAACACGGG